UCUGUGCUUUGUAGAACUUCUGUGGUCUCCAUUGAAGGUUUUCUCAUCCAGCUUCCUUGGAUACUGACUGUGCUCUGAGGGUGGGACUGUGUGCUGGAACUAACUGUGUUAGGUCUGUCAGCACUUAGCCAUGUGCCCGCCCCAUGCAGUGCUAGAGUCUCUUUGUUUUGAACCUCAGUGGACAUAUUGUGCUGGGGACAAGAGAAGGGGUGGGACCCCCGAUGUGCCUGCUGCAUGCUUUUAAUCUUGUGCUUUGCUGACAUAUCAGUUGCAAGUAUCAGCCAGACACCCACCACACCACUGCAGCUGUUUGUCCAGAGAGCAUUUUCUACAUUGCUGAAGUGGCUCCCUGUCCUUGAAGCAACCCCUAGGGGAUGGUGAAGAGCAGAAGAGAGCCCAGGACUGCGCAGGCUCCCACACAGCGCGACUGCACUCUAAGCUAGGCUGUCUGUCUAGGCUGCAGCUCGUUUUAUGGCCUUCUAAUGAAGUAAUUCGACAAUAUUUUCUCACUUCUUUUAUUAGAUAGUUUGGGUCCGAUUUUAGAACUUUUAAAGACAUUUUUAAAUGCUCAAAUGAUUUAUUCCAAACCAAAAAGUCAUGGAGAGCUUAAAAAUUAUACAGCAGAAACAAAAACCAAGUUGCUUCUUUACCAUGUUUUAAAAUCAAUGGGCAAGAAUUGUGAAGCAUUCACUUUGGUGUGGAAUGGGGUCUCUGGAGAUGAUGCAAAGGAGCCCGUGUCCCUGAGACUUGCUUUUCUGGCAGCCACAAAGCACUGAAUUCCUGCAACUGAGUGAACAGCUGAGAAGAGGAAGUGAGGGAGAGAUAAACAGAGAUGCUGAGGAGGCUGGGGUCAAGAAGUAUGCUGAAAAGAGCGAGAUGCCUGUGUCUUCAGGAGAGCACCCAGCAUUCAAAAAUGCCACCAACUCUAGUUCCAUUUUCACUUUAGUCCAGCCAAAAAUAUCUCCUUUUCCUGUUGAAAAGAGCCAUCAUGAGUAGAAGCUGUUAAGGUUGACUGGUUGUAAGCCAGUCAAAGUGGAUGUAAGAGUGAACUGUCUUAGUACAGUGAGCUGUUGUCAGGUAGAUGCUGUGCUAGAUUACUAAAUCAUAAAGAAUCAGUAGUGUCACACGCCUUUAAUCCCAGAACUCAGGAGGCAGCGGCAGGCUGAUCUCUAUGAGUUUGAGGCUAGCAUGGUCUACAUAGCAAGUUCCAGGCCAGACAAGAAUGAGGCCUUGUCUCAAAAUAAUCAAAAAGGAAGGGAUGGAUGGAUGGAUGGAUGGAUGGAUGGAUGGAUGGAUGAACUAGAAAGAGAAGAGAAAACCCAAAGGGUGGGAACAUGUAAUUCUUUAACAAAGAACCUGCACCCAUGUCUCAUGGCUUACAGUCACCUAUAACUACAGCUCGAGGGAAUCUUAACUCUCUGGCUUCCAUGGGCACCUGCACUUCCAUGGGUACCCUGCAUGUACACACACACACACACACACACACACACACAGGGAAGGGGAGAAGGAGACAGUGUGAGGCAGAGACAGAGAGGAGAGAAAUAAUUAAAAAUAAAAUCUUCUUAAAAAGAAAAAUCAGAAUAAUCCCAAGUAGGAAAAAAUAGUAUAUAUAUUCAAACACUGAGUUAGAUGGGAGAAAAGCAGAGCUAGUAAAGAAUAUAACAUCAUAGGCAUGAUUAAAAUGCUAAUAGUGAGCCUGUUUUGAAUGAAAUAGCCUAGUACUUCUAGAGACACGGCAAGGAAACUUGGUUCUCCUGUAAGGAGUCCUGUUAUCAUGAUGAAGGAAAUCAAAUAGUUAAGAUCUCUACAGGUUUGUGGUGAAGAAUGGAGGAGAGGAUGAAGGGCGGAGGAUGUGGCCUGAUGAUUGAGACAAAGAAGUCAUUUUUUGCUACUGACCUGGCCUGGCGGGCUCUGCUCUUCCUAGUGCAUAUAGUGGGAAAGGCCCAAUGUGGCUCUCUGACCCUGUGCUCACAGAAGCACCAGCAGGACUGGAGGCCUGGGGCUGCAGCCCUGCACCCUGUAGGAACCAAAGCAGGAACUCAGCUUACUGCUCUGCCCUUUAGCUUCAGAUUUUACAGGAAUGGAUGCAGUCACAAAAAAAGAAAAAACAAAAGCUCGUGUGAAUGAUCUCUAGUGCUCCAUUUAGCACCUACAGUUCUGAGGGUCUGUAAGACUUGACAAAGACAAAUCACAGGAUGCCGUGAUACCAAAGGGCAACUGAGAGUGGACUCUUUCGGUAAACCUACCAAACUUUACCAAAAACUCACCGGGCACUCUUACACGCAUUCGCGACCGGCCAAUUGGGUAAUCCUUUGAUCAGGGACAGGUCCAAACACGUGGAGUUGACCUGAAUGAUGGUAAGUCUCAAUUCCCGAAGGGUCUGUUCAAAUUCAGCCGUCCAAUUCUGUAACAUAUACUGAGAAAGACUUUUUGACAAAUUAGCUGCCCUAGUAAAUUUCUCAUACUGAAUGGAAGUAACGCAUAAUGAGAGUUCCCCCAAGCUCCCGACAAACCCUAAGCCAGUCUUGUAAACCUUUGUUCUUUCUUGGGGCUAUGGCCGCUCUGCAUUCCUGCGUGGCUUGCUCAUAAAUAAGCUAUUCUACCAGAGGUGCGGCUUGCUCUGAAUCUCCAAAAAUACGCUCUGCUGCCUCUGUUAUUCUGGCCACAAAAUCUGAGAAUGACUCCUGAGGUCUCUGGACGAUCUUUGUUAGUUGUCCAGUGGCUUCACCUGCUCGGGAGAGCGCCUUCCAGGCCCUAAUAGCCUUUUCAUCUGAUUCAGAACUAUUAAGAACUGGCUCCUUGAGCUCAUCUAGUGAUGAGUAUAGGCUCCUUCUCAUAGAGACCUCCGCUGAUUGAUCUUUUUUCUUUUCUUUUUCCUUCUCCUUCCUUCCAAUCUCUCCCCAGGUAUUCUUACCUGACCUUAACUUUCCCUCGGGUUCAAGACCCUUGGAAAGGCCUGUAUACUUAUUUUGUGUACCAUAUUUCCUCUUUGCUCCUACUCUCUCUCCCCGCUUUACUUCUGAUAGAUUGCCCUGAAUUUCAUCCAGAAUUUUCAGCCCUGCCUUAACCGCUUGAUAACAUGUGAAAAGGAACAAAAAGGCUCCUAACACUAGAGAAAGUUCAAGGCCAAACAUACCUUGUAAAGCUAUUUCCCACUUUACUUCUGAUAGACUGUCUUGAAUUUCGUUAGAAAGUUCAAGGCCAGACGUACCUUGUAAAGCUAUUUCCCACUUUACUUCUGAUAGACUGUCUUGAAUUUCGUUAGAAAGUUCAAGGCCAGACUUACCUUGUAAAGCUAUUUCCCACUUUACUUUUGAUAGACUGUCUUGAAUUUCGUUAGAAAGUUCAAGACCAGACUUACCUUGUAAAGCUAUACUUACGGGUACCCUGUUCCCCAGCUGAAGAGUUCUGAAUUCACGCAGUUGAAUCCUUCUCAACAGUCUGUGAUGCGGGAACACUUUAUUACCACCGUUCCCCAGCUGAAGAGUUCUGAAUUCACGCAGUUGAAUCCUUCUCAACAGUCUGUUUUACGGGAACACUUCAUUACCACCAUUCCCCAGCUGAAGAGUUCUGAAUUCACGCAGUUGAAUCCUUCUCAACAGUCUGUUUUACGGGAACACUUCAUUACCAUGACCCGCAGUUCUGGUUCCGGAAUGAGGGAUCUUCCUUGCGCCAGUGAUGGUAACCGUCCCAGGUUUUCUCAUCCCAGGAUUUCUCGUCCCGGGUUUUCUCGUCCCGGAAUUUCUCGUCCCGGGUUUUCUCGUCCCAGGUCUUCUCGUCCCAGGCCUUCUCGUCCCGGGUUUCGGCACCAACUCUUACACGCAUUCGCGACCGGCCAGGAAAGACGCAACAAACCGGAAUCUUCUGCGGCAAAAGCUUUAUUGCUUACAUCUUCAGGAGCCAGAGAGCAAGAGCAAGAGCAAGAAAGCAAGAAAAAGAACAAGAACAAGAAAGCAAGAGAGAGAGAACAAGAAAGCAAGAGAAGAGAGAGAACAAGAAAGCAAGAACAAGAGAGAGAAAAAGCAAGAACAAGAGAGAGAGAAAGAAAGCAAGAGCAAGAAAAAGCAAGAGAAAGAGUGGCAAAACCCCGUCCCUUUUAAGGAGAAUUAUCCUCCGCCUAGGACGUAUUACUCCCUGAUUGGCUGCAGCCCAUCAGCUCAGUUGUCAUCACGAGAAAGGCAGAACACAUGGCGGGAAAACUGCCCCUGCACGUGUGCAGAUUAUGUUUACCACUUAGAACACAGCUGUCAGCGCCAUCUUAUAAUGGCAAAUGUGAGGGCGGCUCCCAACAGGGCACCUGCCCUGGCACUGGCACACAUACUGCCAAGCCUUUGUGAUGGUCACACUUUUGUGUAGGUUCGCCACAGUAUUUUUGAAUUCCUAUAUAAAUCUUAGAUUGAGGGUUGGGGUGGCUAAGUCAGUUGAGUGUUUGCUGUACAAGCAUGAGUUCAGAUCCCCAGCAUCUUCAUUAAAAAGCCAUGAACUGCG
Mus musculus (house mouse) is the source of this 4488-nucleotide long non-coding RNA. RefSeq annotates it as centrosomal protein 112, intronic transcript. The record is from RefSeq and is a predicted model, not a curated record. The transcript has 2 exons. Lineage: Eukaryota; Metazoa; Chordata; Mammalia; Rodentia; Muridae.